RNAcentral lists this ribosomal RNA (253 nucleotides) under uncultured bacterium. Its description in RNAcentral is "partial 16S ribosomal RNA". It matches the Rfam family "Bacterial small subunit ribosomal RNA", at positions 524 to 776 of the family's 1533-position model. The record is from RNAcentral.
UACGAAGGGGGCUAGCGUUGCUCGGAAUCACUGGGCGUAAAGCGCACGUAGGCGGAUUGUUAAGUCAGAGGUGAAAUCCUGGAGCUCAACUCCAGAACUGCCUUUGAUACUGGCGAUCUUGAGUCCGGGAGAGGUGAGUGGAACUGCGAGUGUAGAGGUGAAAUUCGUAGAUAUUCGCAAGAACACCAGUGGCGAAGGCGGCUCACUGGCCCGGUACUGACGCUGAGGUGCGAAAGCGUGGGGAGCAAACAGG